GAUGAACGCUGGCGGCGUGCCUAAUACAUGCAAGUCGAGCGAACAGAUGAGGAGCUUGCUCCUCUGACGUUAGCGGCGGACGGGUGAGUAACACGUGUAUAACCUACCUAUAAGACUGGGAUAACUUCGGGAAACCGGAGCUAAUACCGGAUAAUAUAUUGAACCGCAUGGUUCAAUAGUGAAAGACGGUUUUGCUGUCACUUAUAGAUGGAUCCGCGCCGCAUUAGCUAGUUGGUAAGGUAACGGCUUACCAAGGCAACGAUGCGUAGCCGACCUGAGAGGGUGAUCAGCCACACUGGAACUGAGACACGGUCCAGACUCCUACGGGAGGCAGCAGUAGGGAAUCUUCCACAAUGGGCGAAAGCCUGACGGAGCAACGCCGCGUGAGUGAUGAAGGUCUUCGGGUCGUAAACCUCUGUUAUUAGGAAAGAACAAAUGUGUACGUAACUAUGCACGUCUUGACGGUACCUAAUCAGAAAGCAACGGCUAACUACGUG
Molecule: ribosomal RNA, 497 nt
Filed under: uncultured bacterium
Lineage: Bacteria
Description: partial 16S ribosomal RNA
Rfam family: Bacterial small subunit ribosomal RNA
Source: RNAcentral